GAUGAACGCUGGCGGUGUGCCUAAUACAUGCAAGUCGAGCGAACAGACGAGGAGCUUACUCCUCUGACGUUAGCGGCGGACGGGUGAGUAACACGUGGAUAACCUACCUAUAAGACUGGGAUAACUUCGGGAAACCGGAGCUAAUACCGGAUAACAUGUUGAACCGCAUGGUUCAACAGUGAAAGACGGUCUUGCUGUCACUUAUAGAUGGAUCCGCGUCGCAUUAGCUAGUUGGUAAGGUAACGGCUUACCAAGGCAACGAUGCGUAGCCGACCUGAGAGGGUGAUCAGCCACACUGGAACUGAAACACGGUCCAGACUCCUACGGGAGGCAGCAGUAGGGAAUCUUCCGCAAUGGGCGAAAGCCUGACGGAGCAACGCCGCGUGAGUGAAGAAGGUCUUCGGAUCGUAAAACUCUGUUAUUAGGGAAGAACAAAUGUGUAAGUAACUAUGCACGUCUUGACGGUACCUAAUCAGAAAGCCACGGCUAACUACGUG
RNAcentral lists this ribosomal RNA (497 nucleotides) under uncultured bacterium. RNAcentral's name for it is "partial 16S ribosomal RNA". It matches the Rfam family "Bacterial small subunit ribosomal RNA", at positions 28 to 507 of the family's 1533-position model. The record is from RNAcentral.